GAUGAACGCUGGCGGCGUGCCUAAUACAUGCAAGUCGAGCGAACGGACGAGAAGCUUGCUUCUCUGAUGUUAGCGGCGGACGGGUGAGUAACACGUGGAUAACCUACCUAUAAGACUGGGAUAACUUCGGGAAACCGGAGCUAAUACCGGAUAAUAUUUUGAACCGCAUGGUUCAAAAGUGAAUGACGGUCUUGCUGUCACUUAUAGAUGUAUCCGCGCUGCAUUAGCUAGUUGGUAAGGUAACGGCUUACCAAGGCAACGAUGCAUAGCCGACCUGAGAGGGUGAUCGGCCACACUGGAACUGAGACACGGUCCAGACUCCUACGGGAGGCAGCAGUAGGGAAUAUUCCGCAAUGGGCGAAAGCCUGACGGAGCAACGCCGCGUGAGUGAUGAAGGACUUCGGAUCGUAAAACUCUGUUAUUAGGGAAGAACAUAUGUGUAAGUAACUGUGCACAUCUUGACGGUACCUAAUCAGAAAGCCACGGCUAACUACGUG
This 497-nucleotide ribosomal RNA is filed under the name uncultured bacterium. RNAcentral describes it as "partial 16S ribosomal RNA". It matches the Rfam family "Bacterial small subunit ribosomal RNA", at positions 28 to 507 of the family's 1533-position model. The record is from RNAcentral.